Regulatory RNA element from Terrisporobacter sp., 101 nucleotides. It matches the Rfam family "SAM riboswitch aptamer (S box leader)". Rfam says of the family: The SAM riboswitch is found upstream of a number of genes which code for proteins involved in methionine or cysteine biosynthesis in Gram-positive bacteria. The SAM riboswitch acts at the level of transcription termination control. The record is from Rfam. Lineage: Bacteria; Bacillati; Bacillota; Clostridia; Peptostreptococcales; Peptostreptococcaceae.
AUCUUAUCAAGAGUGAUGGAGGGAAUAGGCCCAAAGAAGUCCAGCAACCUAUAUUAGAUAGGUGCUAAAUCCUACUUAUGGAAACAUAAGAAAGAUAAGAG